GGCUCAGAUUGAACGCUGGCGGCAUGCCUUACACAUGCAAGUCGAACGGCAGCACGGGUGCUUGCACCUGGUGGCGAGUGGCGAACGGGUGAGUAAUACAUCGGAACAUGUCCUGUAGUGGGGGAUAGCCCGGCGAAAGCCGGAUUAAUACCGCAUACGAUCUACGGAUGAAAGCGGGGGACCUUCGGGCCUCGCGCUAUAGGGUUGGCCGAUGGCUGAUUAGCUAGUUGGUGGGGUAAAGGCCUACCAAGGCGACGAUCAGUAGCUGGUCUGAGAGGACGACCAGCCACACUGGGACUGAGACACGGCCCAGACUCCUACGGGAGGCAGCAGUGGGGAAUUUUGGACAAUGGGCGAAAGCCUGAUCCAGCAAUGCCGCGUGUGUGAAGAAGGCCUUCGGGUUGUAAAGCACUUUUGUCCGGAAAGAAAUCCUUGGUUCUAAUAUAACCGGGGGAUGACGGUACCGGAAGAAUAAGCACCGGCUAACUACGUGCCAGCAGCCGCGGUAAUACGUAGGGUGCGAGCGUUAAUCGGAAUUACUGGGCGUA
This 548-nucleotide ribosomal RNA is filed under the name Burkholderia sp. CEL4DAAA. RNAcentral's name for it is "bacterial SSU rRNA". It matches the Rfam family "Bacterial small subunit ribosomal RNA", at positions 21 to 562 of the family's 1533-position model. Lineage: Bacteria; Pseudomonadati; Pseudomonadota; Betaproteobacteria; Burkholderiales; Burkholderiaceae. The record is from RNAcentral.